Long non-coding RNA from Eptesicus fuscus (big brown bat), 385 nucleotides. RefSeq lists it as uncharacterized. The transcript has 3 exons. The record is from RefSeq and is a predicted model, not a curated record. Lineage: Eukaryota; Metazoa; Chordata; Mammalia; Chiroptera; Vespertilionidae.
UUUACAAAUGAACUGCUUUUAAAAAGUCAAAAUAUAUGAAAAGGAAAAUGAAAAAAACACCCCCCUAGGUGAAAUCAUUAUUAUCCAAUUCUUAUGCAUCCUUUCACUCAUUUUUCAAUAAAAAUGAGUAUUUUCUCCACUUUCACCUCUCAGGAGUGGCCAUUCCUUCUGGUUUCCCGUAUUCUGAUCCAGGCUGAGGGUGGCUGCUCUGUUUUCCCCUGCGGGCUGAGUGGAGGAGAGGGGUGCAGCGAUGCCCUGUGGGAGUGAUUGGCAAUGUUCCAGAAGUCAGCCCUGAUCCCUAAGAGACUGUGACGAGCAGAACCUCCUGCGGACCAUGAGGGAUGUGUAGCUGAAUGAGAAAUCGUGGUGUUUUAAAGCUUCUGAG